RNAcentral lists this ribosomal RNA (426 nucleotides) under uncultured Chlamydiae bacterium. RNAcentral's name for it is "bacterial SSU rRNA". It matches the Rfam family "Bacterial small subunit ribosomal RNA", at positions 958 to 1385 of the family's 1533-position model. The record is from RNAcentral. Lineage: Bacteria; Pseudomonadati; Chlamydiota; Chlamydiia.
AACGCGAAGAACCUUACCCAGGCUCGAAAUGUAAUUGACAAUACCAGAAAUGGUACGUUUCGCAAGAACAAUUAUAUAGGUGCUGCAUGGCUGUCGUCAGCUCGUGCCGUGAGGUGUUUGGUUAAGUCCAGCAACGAGCGCAACCCUUAUCAUUAGUUGCCAACAUGAAAGAUGGGGACUCUAGUGAGACUGCCUAGGUUAACUAGGAGGAAGGUGAGGAUGACGUCAAGUCCGCAUGGCCUUUAUGUCUGGGGCUACACACGUGCUACAAUGGUCGGUACAGAAGGCAGCAAGACCGCAAGGUGGAGCAAAUCCGAAAAGCCGAUCUCAGUUCAGAUUGUAGUCUGCAACUCGACUACAUGAAGUUGGAAUUGCUAGUAAUGACGUGUCAGCAACAACGUCGUGAAUACGUUCCCGGGCCUUGUA